CCAGGAUGAGGUAGUGGGUUGUAUAGUUGAGAAUGACACCCCGGGAGAUGACUGUACAACCUCCUAGCUUUUCCUGA
RNAcentral lists this microRNA precursor (77 nucleotides) under Oryzias latipes (Japanese medaka). Its description in RNAcentral is "let-7 microRNA precursor family". It matches the Rfam family "let-7 microRNA precursor family". Rfam says of the family: This family represents the microRNAs (miRNA) let-7 and mir-98. let-7 was identified from a study of developmental timing in C. elegans, and was later shown to be part of a much larger class of non-coding RNAs termed miRNAs. The extents of the hairpin precursors are not generally known and are estimated based on hairpin prediction. The record is from Rfam by way of RNAcentral. Lineage: Eukaryota; Metazoa; Chordata; Actinopteri; Beloniformes; Adrianichthyidae.